GAUGAACGCUGGCGGCGUGCCUAAUACAUGCAAGUCGAGCGAACAGAUGAGGAGCUUGCUCCUCUGACGUUAGCGGCGGACGGGUGAGUAACACGUGGAUAACCUACCUUUAAGACUGGGAUAACUUCGGGAAACCGUAGCUAAUACCGGAUAAUAUAUUGAACCGCAUGGUUCAAUAGUGAAAGACGGUUUUGCUGUCACUUAUAGAUAGAUCCGCGCCGCAUUAGCUAGUUGGUAAGGUAACGGCUUACCAAGGCAACGAUGCGUAGCCGACCUGAGAGGGUGAUCGGCCACACUGGAACUGAGACACGGUCCAGACUCCUACGGGAGGCAGCAGUAGGGAAUCUGCCGCAAUGGGCGAAAGCCUGACGGAGCAACGCCGCGUGAGUGAUGAAGGUCUUCGGAUCGUAAAACUCUGUUAUUAGGGAAGAACAAAUGUGUAAGUAACUAUGCACGUCUUGACGGUACCUAAUCAGAAAGCCACGGCUAACUACGUG
This 497-nucleotide ribosomal RNA is filed under the name uncultured bacterium. Its description in RNAcentral is "partial 16S ribosomal RNA". It matches the Rfam family "Bacterial small subunit ribosomal RNA", at positions 28 to 507 of the family's 1533-position model. The record is from RNAcentral.